Homo sapiens (human) is the source of this 2108-nucleotide long non-coding RNA. NCBI's taxonomy places the organism in Eukaryota, Metazoa, Chordata, Mammalia, Primates, Hominidae. The record is from Ensembl.
GGUCCGCUCGUCAACGGCUAGUCAACGGCUGCGGGGACAAGUCCGUUGAGGCUGCCAGGCGAGUCAGGCCUUUCUGGACCUCGCCUGACUCGGAUGGGCUGUGCCUGAAAUUGACCCAGCUCCACUAGGGAUUAUGAAGAAACAAGGAGUAAACCCAAAGCCGCUGCAAUCUUCCCGCCCCAGCCCGUCUAAGCGGCCGUACGGGGCCUCCCCCGCCCGGGAGCUGGAGGUGGAAAAGUCGGCCCUAGGCGGCGGGAAACUGCCAGGGGGCGCCAGGAGGUCCUCCCCGGGGAGGAUCCCAAAUCUGAAAAAGCGAAAAGGCUUGGAGCUAAAGGUGGUGGCCAAGACCCUUCUCGACCCCUUCCAGUUCGUCCGUAAUUCCCUGGCGCAGCUCCGGGAAGAGGUGCACGAACUGCAGGCGCGGUGGUUCCCCAGCAGAACCACUCUCAGCAUCGGGACUUUAUUAUUCCUACUUCAAGACCAUCAUUGAAGCACCUUCAUUUUUGGAAGGACUGUGGAUGAUUAUGAAUGACAGGCUUACUGAAUAUCCUCUUGUAAUUAAUACAGUAAAACGCUUCCAUCUUUAUCCAGAGGAUUGGGAGAUCCUGCUUGCUUUUAUGUUGGUGUAAUCUUUAUUUUAAAUGGACUAAUGAUGGGAUUGUUCUUCAUGUAUGGAGCAUACCUGAGUGGGACUCAACUGGGAGGUCUUAUUACAGUACUGUGCUUCUUUUUCAACCAUGGAGAGGUUUGUUUUCUAGAAAGCAAUUUUUAAGAAAUAGAAGAGGCUGUAGAGGAACAAGGAAAUAUACUCAUCAAAACAAUAUUUAAUUGUAUACUACUUAUGACUUCACAAUAUUUUAAAGACCCUCGUGUUGCCACCCGUGUGAUGUGGACACCACCUCUCCAUGAAAGUUUUUCCUAUCCUUUCCUUGUACUUCAGAUGUAUAUUUUAACUUUGAUUCUCAGGACCUCAAGCAAUGAUAGAAGGCCCUUCAUUGCACUCUGUCUUUCCAAUGUUGCUUUUAUGCUUCCCUGGCAAUUUGCUCAGUUUAUACUUUUUACACAGAUAGCAUCAUUAUUUCCCAUGUAUGUUGUGGGAUACAUUGAACCAAGCAAAUUUCAGAAGAUCAUUUAUAUGAACAUGAUUUCAGUUACCCUUAGUUUCAUUUUGAUGUUUGGAAAUUCAAUGUACUUAUCUUCUUCUUAUUCUUCAUCUUUGUUAAUGACGUGGCUAAUUCAAGGUAGUGCCUGGUGGUGUGGAACAAUCAUUUUGAAAUUUCUGACAUCUAAAAUCUUAGGCGUUUCAGACCACAUUCGCCUGAGUGAUCUUAUAGCAGCCAGAAUCUUAAGGUAUACAGAUUUUGAUACUUUAAUAUACACCUGUGCUCCCGAAUUUGACUUCAUGGAAAAAGCGACUCCACUGAGAUACACAAAGACAUUAUUGCUUCCAGUUGUUAUGGUGAUUACAUGUUUUAUCUUUAAAAAGACUGUUCGUGAUAUUUCGUGUGUUUUAGCUACAAACAUUUAUCUAAGUUUUAGGCCAGGUGCGGUGGCUCAUGCCUAUAAUCCCAGCACUUUGGGAGGCCAAGGCGGGCGGAUCACGAGGUCAAGAGAUCGAGACCAUCCUGGCCAACAUGGUGAAACCCCGUCUCCACUAAAAAUACACAAAUUAGCUGGGCGUGGUGGCACGCACCUGUAAUCCCAGCUACUCGGGAGGCUGAGGCAGGAGAAUUGCUGGAACCCAGGAGUCGGAGGUUGCAGUGAGCCAAGAUUGCCACCACACUCCAGCCUGGCAACAGUGCGAGGCUCCGUCUCAAUAAUAAUAAUAAUGAUAAUGAUAAUUUUUAAAAAUGUCUAACUAGUUUCUUCUGUUGUAUAUUUUGCCUUUAAAAUUAACUUGCUAUUUAUUGAGAUGGAUGUUCAGUUUUAGUAAAUGCUCUGUGAGGAUUUUUUAAAUGUUCAUUUCUUAUUUAGGGGAAGUUCAAAGUUACAUGUUAUAUCAUGUUAUUAAUAGUGCUAUUCUAAAUGGUCUCUUAUUUUUCUACUUUUUCUGUUUUCUUAGAAUGCUAUCUUCACAUGCAACAUUAAAAAUGAAUUUUUCAAAAUUG